RNAcentral lists this transfer RNA (72 nucleotides) under Candidatus Jacksonbacteria bacterium RIFCSPLOWO2_01_FULL_44_13. RNAcentral's name for it is "tRNA-Arg". It matches the Rfam family "tRNA". From Rfam's summary of the family: Transfer RNA (tRNA) molecules are approximately 80 nucleotides in length. Their secondary structure includes four short double-helical elements and three loops (D, anti-codon, and T loops). RNAcentral also lists the same sequence under 2 other names. The record is from RNAcentral. Lineage: Bacteria; Candidatus Jacksoniibacteriota.
GCUCCCAUCGUUCAAUGGAUAGGACGCAAGAUUGCGGAUCUUGUAAUCCAAGUUCGAAUCUUGGUGGGAGCA